This 301-nucleotide ribosomal RNA is filed under the name uncultured bacterium. Its description in RNAcentral is "partial 16S ribosomal RNA". It matches the Rfam family "Bacterial small subunit ribosomal RNA", at positions 509 to 807 of the family's 1533-position model. The record is from RNAcentral.
CAGCCGCCGCGGGAAUACGUAGGGUGCAAGCGUUAAUCGGAAUUACUGGGCGUAAAGCGUGCGCAGGCGGUUAUAUAAGACAGAUGUGAAAUCCCCGGGCUCAACCUGGGAACUGCAUUUGUGACUGUAUAGCUAGAGUACGGCAGAGGGGGAUGGAAUUCCGCGUGUAGCAGUGAAAUGCGUAGAUAUGCGGAGGAACACCGAUGGCGAAGGCAAUCCCCUGGGCCUGUACUGACGCUCAUGCACGAAAGCGUGGGGAGCAAACAGGAUUAGAGACCCGCGUAGUCCCUGUCUCUUAUAC